Molecule: transfer RNA, 64 nt
Filed under: Homidia socia
Lineage: Eukaryota; Metazoa; Arthropoda; Collembola; Entomobryomorpha; Entomobryidae
Description: tRNA-Ile
Source: RNAcentral
AGGAAAGUGCCUGAUUAAAGGGUUAUUUUGAUAGAAUAAAUUAAACAAUUUUUUGUCUUUUCUU